UACGUAGGCAGCGAGCGUUGUUCGGAGUUACUGGGCGUAAAGCGUGCGUAGGCGGUGCCAUAAGUCUGUUGUGAAAUCUCCCGGCUUAACUGGGAGGGUGCGGUGGAAACUGUGGUGCUGGAGUGUGGGAGAGGUAGGCGGAAUUCCUGGUGUAGCGGUGAAAUGCGUAGAUAUCAGGAGGAACACCUGUGGUGUAGACGGCUUACUGGACCAUGACUGACGCUGAGGCACGAAAGCGUGGGGAGCAAACAGG
RNAcentral lists this ribosomal RNA (253 nucleotides) under uncultured bacterium. RNAcentral describes it as "partial 16S ribosomal RNA". It matches the Rfam family "Bacterial small subunit ribosomal RNA", at positions 524 to 776 of the family's 1533-position model. The record is from RNAcentral.